Molecule: ribosomal RNA, 406 nt
Filed under: uncultured bacterium
Lineage: Bacteria
Description: partial 16S ribosomal RNA
Rfam family: Bacterial small subunit ribosomal RNA
Source: RNAcentral
AUUGAACGCUGGCGGCAGGCCUAACACAUGCAAGUCGAGCGAGCGGCGGACGGGUGAGUAAUGUAUGGGGAUCUGCCCGAUCGAGGGGGAUAACUACUGGAAACGGUGGCUAAUACCGCAUACUCUCGGAUGAACCCAUAUCGGAUUAGCUAGUAGGUGGGGUAAAGGCUAACCUAGGCAACGAUCUCUAGCUGGUCUGAGAGGAUGAUCAGCCACACUGGGACUGAGACACGGCCCAGACUCCUACGGGAGGCAGCAGUGGGGAAUAUUCCACAAUGGGCGAAAGCCUGAUGCAGCCAUGCCGCGUGUAUGAAGAAGGCCUUAGGGUCGUAAAACACUUUCAGCGGGGAGGCGGUACCCGAAGAAGAAGCACCGGCUAACUACGUGCCAGCAGCCGCGGUAAUAC